AAGGGAGGGGAAAUAGCUUUAGCCAUGACAUAAAUAAUGUAGGAAACUUUCUAGAGGGAUUUCUGAACAGAUGUCUUGUUACCGAAUAGCCCAUGAGCUCGAUAAUAUAAACAAGUUAGGCAUGAAUCCAACUCAGAGGAGGGGAUUUUUUUACAAAACAUUGGAUGCCUAGUUGGAUAGGAGACUAUCAGUACAGGGUAUGCUGCAGAUUUAAGAAACUUUGGCCAAAUUAUGUUUCAGUGGAUUUUAAUUUAAGAGUCCAACCUAAAACUCAUGACACUAGAAUGGGUCUAACAUAUACCAGUAAAAUGAUAUCUUCCAGAGGUUAAGCAGAGAACUCUGUAGUAACUAAUAAAAUUUCUCAGGCAUUACGUAAAACGUCUUUCAGGGAAACAAUCCAAGUCUAUGUUAUUAGAGAAUAUUAAACUCUGUCGAGUAAUCUCGGAGUAUCUUGAUGUUUCAGAAUCUGUCUUUCAAAGGAUUAUGUCUUGAGUCACCCACCAGAGAUGGAAAGAAACGUAGAAGUAAACUGGUCUUGCUUGUAUCUCUUAGAAUUAAAAUGGGUGACAUUAUGUGUCCUUCCUUCCAUAUUAACUAACGCAAAUAUGUGCCACUGGUCAGCAACCAGAUUCCCACUUUACGUGCAGCUGCCGUUUUGGAAAAUGGCAACUCUACUGCCAUUUAAUUUUAUAAUUGUUGUAAAACAUGUUUUAAAAAUCAGUCAUUGAUUUUUUUUUUUCUCCCUCAUUCUCACUGAUAUAUCGGCCAAGUGCUGAAGCUCUUAUGACACAGGACGUAUUACGCAUUAGUUUGGGUACUUUUGGGUGAAUAAAGACCUCCUAAGUAAAACCAGCUUAGCCAAGAAGGAUGCACCUAGUCUCCUGUAUCAAUACAUCUGGAAGCAGGGCCUUCCCCCACUGGUUCACUCUGGAACAGCGGGGUUAGGCCUGCAGGUCUGCUCUGGUCUCUUGGCUUCCCCUUUGGAUUGUGGGGGACCUCCCGCUGCUGAAUCAUCACAUCUCUUCAGGGACAGCAGCCAAGACAGGAAGAGUGGCAGGACCUCCCACAGGGCAGCUCUCCUAUUAGAGAAGAAAAGCCUUCCCCUUAGGUCACACUGGUCUGAACCUGUCACACCACUCUUAGUGGUGGGGACGGCUCUGCAGGUGAGAUCUGGUGGGCAGCCCCUGGAGCACCCGGUUCUCCCAGCCCGGAAGCCAAGGAAGGGAGAGGGGCUGUUGGACAGACCCACAGCCCUCAGCCACACAUUAGUAUUUGAAAUGAACUCCCAAGCAACAUUUACCAACACGCCUAAUCUUCCACAGUAUUUUGUUCAGGGCUAUGAAUUAAGGAUGAUCUAGAGCCAAGAAAACUUUGAUAUCUGCGCUCCCCCCCCCUUUGAAGUUCUCUGUACAGUGGUGUGAAUUAAAUGUCAAACAGUUUUACUACUUGUUUUAUUUAUAAUGUGUAUAAAUUGUGUGGCGUGACUCAGUUCCUUUUUGUUAAGUCCCUCCCCUCCCUCUUGGGAGACUUCCUUAAAAGCACUGAUAGGAUUCUGGUAUUUGGGGGCUUUUCUCCUUUAAGUCUUAUACCAUGCACGUUUUUUGAUAUUGACAAGCUUAAAUAUAAUGUAGGAGAAACUGUGUUGAAUCCCAUCUCUGGAGGGCUUAUGGAUGUGAAAGAACUUUUAUAUGAAAAAAAUCUUUGUCCCAAUGUACAGGGGACUAUAUCCAGUCUCUUGCAAUAGAACAUGAUAGAAGAUAAUAUGAGAAAAAAAAGGUGUAUAUAUAUGGAUGACUGGGUCACUUUGCUGUAGGGCGGAAAUUGAUACAACAUUGUAAAUCAACUAUACUUUAAAAAAAAGCAAGCAAAAGCAAAAAAACCCCCCCAAAAAAUAACAAAAAACCCCCCCAAAAUCGAAAACCCAUAACCACAAAUACUACCAUCAUACUCAGACUAUUAGCCCUAAUAGUUUAUUAAUAUCAUGUAAUAGCCAAUGUUCACAUUUCCUCAGGUAUCUUUAAAAAAUUUUUUGGGGGGUAUAUUUGUUUGAAUUGGGAUCCAAAAUGUGGCCGAUGUGUCUGAGUCUUUUAUAAUCUACAGAGUCCCUUUCCACCUCCUUUGCCCCCCUCCCAAACUAUUUAUUUGCCUUUUUUUUUUUUUUUUUUUUGCCGUUUUUGUUGUUGCAGUUGUUGAGUAAAUUGGAUGGUUUGACCUUAAUUUUUUUUUUUUUUUUUUUUUUGGGUUCAGGAGUUUGCUUCUGGUAACACUGAUCCAUUUAAAAUGGUGGUUUGAAAUGAUAAUAAAAUUUACAUUAGUGAUACAAAUGAUACUUCUCAGGGCUCCGAGGACAUGGAGGUGGUGUUUUAACAGUGGCGUUUCUCUCUAUUUUAUCUUUGACCGGAUUCAGGUAAACAGAUAUGAUUUUUAUUCAGAGGUGACAGCACUUGGUUUGUUUUCCCUGGCACAGGUCUUUCUUUCUCUUGGAAGCAAGUGUACCUCUAUAGGUUUAACCUUAUAGUUCAUAAUGAGUAUAAUAUUUUAUGAUGAUAAGAUGAGAAAAAUUGAUGCAUUAAUGUGUAGUCUGUUGAAACAGUAUCACAUUGUUAAUAUGAACUCCUGGUGUGUUUUUUCAAGAACACAACCCAGUAGGGUUUGGUUUGAAACGUCCUAGUCUAGAAUGUGUUCAAAAUACACUGUUAAGGGAAAUAAAGUGGGAUAGAGAAUUCCGUGGUGUGAACCCAGUUAUAUUAUUAUCUGUGAGUAGAAAAAAGACUAGAAGGAAGUUCAUCAAAGUCUUACCUAUGGUUGUAUUGGAAUUGGAUUAACUAGGAGUAUUUUUUAUUUUCUUUUUUUAUGAUCUGAAUUUUUUUUGGGGGGGGCGCUAUUUCUUAGGCUGCUCCUGAGGCACAUGGAAAUUCCCAGGCUAGGGGUCUAAUCGGAGCUGUAGCCACCAGCCUACGCCAGAGCCACAGCAACGCGGGAUCUGAGCCGCGUCUGCAACCUACACCACAGCUCACGGCAACGCCGGAUCGUUAACCCACUGAGCAAGGGCAGGGACCCAACCCGCAACCUCAUGGUUCCUAGUCGGAUUCGUUAACCACUGAGCCACGACGGGAACUCCUUUUUUUUUUUUUUAUGAGAGUUCCCUCACUCUGUCUUUUUUGCCACACCCACAGCAUGUGAAAGUUCUCGGGCUAGGGUUCAAACCUGUGCCACACAGCAGCGACCAGAGCCACGGUGGUGAAAAUGCUGGAGCCUUAACCCGCUAGGCCAUCAGACAACUUCCUGAUCUGAAUUUUUACUGAGAAAAAAAUUAUCUCGAAACAACCCUGGGAGUUCCUGUCUUGGUGGCACAGUAAUUAACGAAUCUGACUAGGAACCAUGAGGUUGUGGGUUCGAUCCCUGGCCUUGCUCAGUGGGUUAAGGAUCCAGUGUUGCCAUGAGCUGUGAUGUAGGUUGCAGAUGUGGCUCAGAUCCCGCGUUACUGUGGCUGUGGUGUAGGCCGGCGGCUGAAGCUCUGAUUGGACCCCUAG
This 3533-nucleotide long non-coding RNA is filed under the name Sus scrofa (pig). RNAcentral's name for it is "lncRNA (ENSSSCG00000056790.1)". Lineage: Eukaryota; Metazoa; Chordata; Mammalia; Artiodactyla; Suidae. The record is from RNAcentral.